AAUGUAGUCGGCAAGAGUGGAGGAAGAGAGAAAGGUACCAGCAAUACAACUCCGUCGGCAGAAGGUCCUGAAGGAGGAAACCGAGGCAAAGGAGGAUGGUGCUGCUAAACAGAAUUCCAGACACAGAAAUGAUGAAGCAAUGAAGACCACCUGGAACGCACCCAUGUAGACCUGAGACGAGCCCGCGGGCUAGCAACGCAACCGCAACCCAGCAAUGAAUGCAGAGGGAGAGGACGGAAAUGGAGUCCCUGGACAAGGCGGGAACGAGAUGGUGGUUAGGAGUAGUGCAGUAUUAUCAACAGGAGAGGUGUACUUGGAAAAUGGAGGAGGAGUGGAGGGAAAUGGAGAGGGAGAGAAGGUCUAAGAGAGAGAGGGAAGAAGAGGGUGAGCUUGAGUCGGAUAAGAAUGGUGUAAAAAAGGGAAAUGGUUUGUUAAAGAAGGGAAAAAUGUGUAAGCAGGGAAAAGGGAAAAUGUGUAAGCAGAGGGAGCUGAAGGAUGAGAAAUUGAAGUGAAUGAGGGUGAAUUAUCGAAGGUGGUAGGUAUCGGAGACCGAGGUAUGCACCUAGGAUCAGGAUAAAGAUGAGUCUGUGACAGUAGGAGUGAAGUUUAUGGAAAAAAAUGGACUCUUGCCUUUUGGCUGAUCCAUUUGUGGUUUCACUGUGGGUGAAACAAUAGUUGGGUAAUUUGGAAUCGGUGAAGGUAACCAGAAGUGGGCUAGUCAUAAUUGUUUGUGUUUCUGCUGGUCAGAGGGAGAAGGCGCUCAGAGUAAAACAAAUGGGGGGGCAAGAAAAUCGAAAAUUGUUUCGCUCUCAAGAAAAGGGCGCUGAUGAAAGCAGUGAUAACUGGGGUAAGGUAAACUCACCCCAUUCCAUACAAAUGUGCGCAACUGCCACAUUCAAACGAGGCGACAAAAAAAACUAAUGGGACUGUAGCGACUGUGUUGACUUCAAAAGCGGGGGUGUGAACUAGGCUUCUAUUCAAGCGUUGAUCGACAUGGUAAUGGCUCCAUAGUAUGAGAAAAGUUUUUAAAAAACUGACCCUCCAUUACAUCGUGACGUGUCAUGUCGUAACGUACAGCACGCAUAAAGCAACUAUUUAUGUCUUACAAUCUCUCUCCACCAGGUGUAGCACUUCUCUCAUCCUUUAAAAACAAGAAAGGGACAGUGACGCGGCCCUGGCAACAACACCAAAAAGAAAACAACACAUCAAGAAGUGCAAAAUCGAGGAUGUAUGAUCGGCAGCCUAGUCUGUGCAAGUCCGAUCUGUGAUGGAUUUGUUAUUAUAAAUGUACAGUACCGUUCAAAAGUUGGGGUCACUUAGAAAUGUCCUUGUCUUUGAAAGAAACACAUUUUUAUCCAUUAAAAUAACAUAAAAUUGAUCAGAAAUACAGUGUAGACAUUGUUAAUAUUGUAAAUGACUAUUGUAGCUAGAAAUGGCUGAUUUAAUGUUAUAUCUACAUAGGCCCAUUAUCAGCAACCGUCACUCCUGUGUUCUAAUGGCAUGAUGUGUUAGCUAAUCCAAGUUUAUUUUAAAAGGCUAAUUGAUCAUUAGAAAACCCUUUUGCAAUUAUGUUAGCACAGCUGAAAACUGUUGUCCUGAUUAAAGAAGUAAUAAAACUGGCCUGCUUUAGAAUAGUUGAGUAUCUGGAGCAUCAGCAUUUGUGGGUUUGAUUACAGGCUCAAAAUGUCCAGAAACAAUGAACUUCCUUCUGAAACUCGUCAGCCUAUUCUUGUUCUGAGAAUUGAAGUCUAUUCCACGCGAGAAAUUACCAAGAAACUGAAGAUCUCAUACAACACUGUGUACUACUCCCUUCAUUGGAUGUAAAUCUCCUCAGAUGGAUUGAUAUGCUGUUUAUUUGUUUGUAAAUAUGUGUGGGUCCUCAGCAUCUUGUCUCAUUGUCAAACUAGUGUCUGUCAAUGCAGUAGUAUUUCUGUAUCACAUUAAGCUGGAGUGGAUGUGGCGCAGCAAAAAAAAGUUCUCCUUCAAACAGGGGAAAGAGUGGGGGGUGGAGGGGUGAAAUAAAUCAACACAAACAAUGAAGUACUGA
Molecule: long non-coding RNA, 2047 nt
Organism: Oncorhynchus tshawytscha (Chinook salmon)
Lineage: Eukaryota; Metazoa; Chordata; Actinopteri; Salmoniformes; Salmonidae
Source: Ensembl